CGUGGGUCAUCUACCCCGAGGUGAGGAAUACCGGCGAGAAAUCGCCGACAAUACCGCAUAUGCUUCGCAAGAAGCAAAGUUCGCAAGAACGCCUCAGGAUGAGCCUGCGCUCGAUUAGCUCGUUGGUGAGGUCAAAGCUCACCAAGGCAACGAUCGAUAGCUGGUCUGAGAGGACGAUCAGCCACACUGGGAUUGAGAACGGCCCAG
This 207-nucleotide ribosomal RNA is filed under the name uncultured bacterium. Its description in RNAcentral is "partial 16S ribosomal RNA". It matches the Rfam family "Bacterial small subunit ribosomal RNA", at positions 116 to 334 of the family's 1533-position model. The record is from RNAcentral.